AGAUACUAAUCAUCUAGACCACGUGGAUUGGUGGAAGUCAUGCAAAACAGUUUUUCCCGCAUUCAUGUAAUGAUGGCACUGAAGCAGACACAUUGAGCACACGUAUGGUAUGUUAACGCUUGUUGUACUAAUUACAUAUGCCACCAACAAAGGUGAUGGAUCCAAUUUGAGAUUUUAACUUUCCUGACCAGGACAGUCACGCAAUACUGGAAUAUAAAAGAAAACCAGAAACCCUGAACAUGACAAUGACCCAACACACCACCAGGCUGUGUAAGGGAUAUUUGAACAAGAAGGAGAGUGAUGGAGUUCUGCAUCAGAUGAUCCAGCCUCCACAAUCACCCGACCUCAUCCCAAGUGAGAUGGCUUGGGAAAAGCAGCCAACAAGUGCUCAGCAUAUGAGCGAACUCCUUCAAGACUGUUGGAAUGGCAUUCCAGCUGAAGAUGGUUGAGAGAAUGCCAAGUGUGCAAUGCUGAUAUCAAGUAAGUUUAUUCCCAGUUGUCUUGAAAGCACCAUGAAUCCAGAGAAUGCCAGACCUUGAUGACAAAGUUUGAUGACAAAAUUUACCCACGAAGGACCGCCGCACCAUCUUCCUGCUCAAGUAAGCACAGCACAAGAACGGGAUUUUCUGCAUGUGGUUCAUGAGCAGAAAGCCCACUCUUCCCAGGAUGGUCUCUGCUCUCUCUGAUGAAACCGUCCCAUUGGAGCACUUGGAAUGGGCACAAUCCUCCUCACUCUUCAAUCCCUCCCUCGGGCUCACCUCCUCAGUGACGCUCCUCUCUUCACUCUCAAUUUCAAUGCCUAUCCAAUAAUCCUAACAGGAAGACAUUGACUCUAGAUGUAAUAUUGUUCCAAUGUGGCAAAUUCAAUACACAAUUGAGUGAUUAACAUACAAUGAUGGCCAAUUAACCCGAGUGAGGGGUGAUGUUUUAUACUGUGAGCAAAGAGCAGCAGGGUUGGGGUCAAUUCCAUUUCAAUUCCGAUCAAAAGACUAAGGUUCCAAUUCUCUUCAACGCUUUGAAUUGAAAUAGAACUGACCACCAUCCCUGUGAAGUUUUAGUGUGAAAUAGGACACCUACCUUUUCCUCUUCCAGGAUCCAGGGCCUGGGUUCCUCAUCCUCUGACCUGCAUAUGGAGGCUCCAACUCUAACAGGCAUCUUAGUGACCACGCAGGUCAGAGGGGUGGGCAGCUCAUUGCAGGUUGCC
Oncorhynchus keta (chum salmon) is the source of this 1204-nucleotide long non-coding RNA. RefSeq lists it as uncharacterized. Lineage: Eukaryota; Metazoa; Chordata; Actinopteri; Salmoniformes; Salmonidae. The record is from RefSeq and is a predicted model, not a curated record. The transcript is spliced from 4 exons.